Molecule: ribosomal RNA, 119 nt
Filed under: Pteropus alecto (black flying fox)
Lineage: Eukaryota; Metazoa; Chordata; Mammalia; Chiroptera; Pteropodidae
Source: RNAcentral
GUCUAUGGCCAUGCCACCCUGAACGCGCCGGAUCCCAUCUCAUCUCGGAAGCUAAGCAAGGUCGGGCCUGGUUAGUACUUGGAUGGGAGACCACCUAGGAAGACCAGGUGCCGUAGGCG